This 2758-nucleotide ribosomal RNA is filed under the name Klebsiella pneumoniae. RNAcentral's name for it is "bacterial LSU rRNA". It matches the Rfam family "Bacterial large subunit ribosomal RNA". Lineage: Bacteria; Pseudomonadati; Pseudomonadota; Gammaproteobacteria; Enterobacterales; Enterobacteriaceae. The record is from RNAcentral.
CACUAUCGUUAACUGAAUACAUAGGUUAACGAGGCGAACCGGGGGAACUGAAACAUCUAAGUACCCCGAGGAAAAGAAAUCAACCGAGAUUCCCCCAGUAGCGGCGAGCGAACGGGGAGCAGCCCAGAGUCUGAAUCAGCUUGUGUGUUAGUGGAACGGUCUGGAAAGUCCGACGGUACAGGGUGAUAGUCCCGUACACCAAAAUGCACAGGCUGUGAACUCGAAGAGUAGGGCGGGACACGUGGUAUCCUGUCUGAAUAUGGGGGGACCAUCCUCCAAGGCUAAAUACUCCUGACUGACCGAUAGUGAACCAGUACCGUGAGGGAAAGGCGAAAAGAACCCCGGCGAGGGGAGUGAAAAAGAACCUGAAACCGUGUACGUACAAGCAGUGGGAGCACCUUCGGGUGUGACUGCGUACCUUUUGUAUAAUGGGUCAGCGACUUAUAUUCUGUAGCAAGGUUAACCGUAUAGGGGAGCCGCAGGGAAACCGAGUCUUAACUGGGCGUUAAGUUGCAGGGUAUAGACCCGAAACCCGGUGAUCUAGCCAUGGGCAGGUUGAAGGUUGGGUAACACUAACUGGAGGACCGAACCGACUAAUGUUGAAAAAUUAGCGGAUGACUUGUGGCUGGGGGUGAAAGGCCAAUCAAACCGGGAGAUAGCUGGUUCUCCCCGAAAGCUAUUUAGGUAGCGCCUCGUGAAUUCAUCUUCGGGGGUAGAGCACUGUUUCGGCUAGGGGGUCAUCCCGACUUACCAACCCGAUGCAAACUACGAAUACCGAAGAAUGUUAUCACGGGAGACACACGGCGGGUGCUAACGUCCGUCGUGAAGAGGGAAACAACCCAGACCGCCAGCUAAGGUCCCAAAGUCAUGGUUAAGUGGGAAACGAUGUGGGAAGGCACAGACAGCCAGGAUGUUGGCUUAGAAGCAGCCAUCAUUUAAAGAAAGCGUAAUAGCUCACUGGUCGAGUCGGCCUGCGCGGAAGAUGUAACGGGGCUAAACCAUGCACCGAAGCUGCGGCAGCGACACUAUGUGUUGUUGGGUAGGGGAGCGUUCUGUAAGCCUGCGAAGGUGACCUGUGAGGGUUGCUGGAGGUAUCAGAAGUGCGAAUGCUGACAUAAGUAACGAUAAAGCGGGUGAAAAGCCCGCUCGCCGGAAGACCAAGGGUUCCUGUCCAACGUUAAUCGGGGCAGGGUGAGUCGACCCCUAAGGCGAGGCCGAAAGGCGUAGUCGAUGGGAAACAGGUUAAUAUUCCUGUACUUGGUGUUACUGCGAAGGGGGGACGGAGAAGGCUAUGUUAGCCGGGCGACGGUUGUCCCGGUUUAAGCAUGUAGGCUGGUUGUCCAGGCAAAUCCGGAUAAUCAAGGCUGAGGUGUGAUGACGAGGCACUACGGUGCUGAAGUAACAAAUGCCCUGCUUCCAGGAAAAGCCUCUAAGCAUCAGGUAACAUUAAAUCGUACCCCAAACCGACACAGGUGGUCAGGUAGAGAAUACCAAGGCGCUUGAGAGAACUCGGGUGAAGGAACUAGGCAAAAUGGUGCCGUAACUUCGGGAGAAGGCACGCUGGUGUGUAGGUGAAGUCCCUGCGGAUGGAGCUGAGACCAGUCGAAGAUACCAGCUGGCUGCAACUGUUUAUUAAAAACACAGCACUGUGCAAACACGAAAGUGGACGUAUACGGUGUGACGCCUGCCCGGUGCCGGAAGGUUAAUUGAUGGGGUUAUCCGUAAGGAGAAGCUCUUGAUCGAAGCCCCGGUAAACGGCGGCCGUAACUAUAACGGUCCUAAGGUAGCGAAAUUCCUUGUCGGGUAAGUUCCGACCUGCACGAAUGGCGUAAUGAUGGCCAGGCUGUCUCCACCCGAGACUCAGUGAAAUUGAACUCGCUGUGAAGAUGCAGUGUACCCGCGGCAAGACGGAAAGACCCCGUGAACCUUUACUAUAGCUUGACACUGAACAUUGAGCCUUGAUGUGUAGGAUAGGUGGGAGGCUUUGAAGCGUGGACGCCAGUCUGCGUGGAGCCAACCUUGAAAUACCACCCUUUAAUGUUUGAUGUUCUAACGUUGGCCCCUGACCGGGGUUGCGGACAGUGUCUGGUGGGUAGUUUGACUGGGGCGGUCUCCUCCCAAAGCGUAACGGAGGAGCACGAAGGUUAGCUAAUCCUGGUCGGACAUCAGGAGGUUAGUGCAAUGGCAUAAGCUAGCUUGACUGCGAGCGUGACGGCGCGAGCAGGUGCGAAAGCAGGUCAUAGUGAUCCGGUGGUUCUGAAUGGAAGGGCCAUCGCUCAACGGAUAAAAGGUACUCCGGGGAUAACAGGCUGAUACCGCCCAAGAGUUCAUAUCGACGGCGGUGUUUGGCACCUCGAUGUCGGCUCAUCACAUCCUGGGGCUGAAGUAGGUCCCAAGGGUAUGGCUGUUCGCCAUUUAAAGUGGUACGCGAGCUGGGUUUAGAACGUCGUGAGACAGUUCGGUCCCUAUCUGCCGUGGGCGCUGGAGAAUUGAGGGGGGCUGCUCCUAGUACGAGAGGACCGGAGUGGACGCAUCACUGGUGUUCGGGUUGUCAUGCCAAUGGCACUGCCCGGUAGCUAAAUGCGGAAGAGAUAAGUGCUGAAAGCAUCUAAGCACGAAACUUGCCCCGAGAUGAGUUCUCCCUGAGACUUUAAGUCUCCUGAAGGAACGUUAAAGACGAUGACGUUGAUAGGCCGGGUGUGUAAGCGCAGCGAUGCGUUGAGCUAACCGGUACUAAUGAACCGUGAGGCUUAACCUU